RNAcentral lists this ribosomal RNA (1293 nucleotides) under Amphiesma stolatum (buff striped keelback). Its description in RNAcentral is "partial 16S ribosomal RNA". It matches the Rfam family "Bacterial large subunit ribosomal RNA", at positions 440 to 2606 of the family's 2925-position model. The record is from RNAcentral. Lineage: Eukaryota; Metazoa; Chordata; Lepidosauria; Squamata; Natricidae.
UACACAAAAAUCUUUAUAAAACUAAACAAACCAUUUGACCAACCAAGUAGAUGUGAUCGAACAGUAUAUAAUUCACCAAAGUACCGCAAGGGAAUACCCUUAAGCAAAAAACAGCAAAGAUAAACCCUUGUACCUUUCGCAUCAUGGUUUAGCAAGCAAAUAGGACAAGAAGAAUCAUAGCCCUCCACCCCGAAACCAGAUGAGCUACUUUCAAGCAGCACACUAGGGCACACCCUUCUCUGUAGCAAAAGAGUGGGACGACUUUAAAGUAGAGGUGAAACGCCUAUCGAAUCUGGAGAUAGCUGGUUACCCAAAAAGGAAUCUAAGUUCCACUUUAGACCUAAAAAAAUUACUUAUUUACCCUAAAGAAAAUCAGUAGGGGUACAGCUCUACUGAAACAGGAAACAACCUGAAUUUGAGAGAAAACUUAAUUUAAACCACACCUGUAGGACUUAAAGCAACCACCUUGCAAAAUAUCGUUAAAGAAUUUAAUAUAAAAAUAACCAAACUUGUUUUAAUCUCCAAAUAAACUCAGGGUGAACCAAUAUUAAUUGGUACCAUAAUGCUAAAACUAAUAAUAAGACAACCUCUCUACCACGCACCUAUCCACUAGAAACGGAAAAACCACUAGCCAUUAACAGACCACAAUAGAUCUCCAACCAACCACUAUCCCCACCUCACACAAACUGUGAACCCGACACAGGCGCGUAUAAAAGAAAGAUUAACCACUAUAAAAGGAACUCGGCAACCACAAACCCCAACUGUUUAACAAAAACAUAACCUUUAGCCAAACAAAUAUUAAAGGCAACGCCUGCCCAGUGAACAAUUAAACGGCCGCGGUACCCUAACCGUGCAAAGGUAGCAUAAUCAUUUGUCUAUUAAUUGUAGACCUGUAUGAAAGGCAAAAUGAGGGUUUAACUGUCUCUUAUAGUAACUCUAUUAAACUGAUCUCCUAGUAAAAAAGCUAGAAUAAUAACAUAAGACCAGAAGACCCUGUGAAGCUUGAACUAAACUAUUAAACCAAAUAAUAACUACUUUCGGUUGGGGCGACCUUGGAAACAAAAAGAACUUCCAAAUACAAGUACUCUUACUCUUACAAAGGCCUACAAGCCACCUAACGACCCAGUUAAAACUGAUAAUUGAACAAAGUUACUCCAGGGAUAACAGCGCUAUCUUCUUCAAGAGCCCAUAUCAAAAAGAAGGUUUACGACCUCGAUGUUGGAUCAGGACACCCCAAUGGUGCAGCCGCUAUUAAAGGUUCGUUUGUUCAACGACUAACGUCCUACGUGAUCU